UACGUAGGGGGCAAGCGUUGUCCGGAUUUAUUGGGCGUAAAGAGCUCGUAGGCGGCUCACUAAGUCGGAUGUGAAAACUCCAGGCUCAACCUGGAGACGCCAUUCGAUACUGGUGUGGCUUGAGUUCGGUAGGGGAGCACGGAAUUCCUGGUGUAGCGGUGAAAUGCGCAGAUAUCAGGAGGAACACCAAUAGCGAAGGCAGCUCGCUGGGACGGUACUGACGCUAAGGCGCGAAAGCGUGGGGAGCGAACAGG
RNAcentral lists this ribosomal RNA (254 nucleotides) under uncultured bacterium. RNAcentral describes it as "partial 16S ribosomal RNA". It matches the Rfam family "Bacterial small subunit ribosomal RNA", at positions 524 to 776 of the family's 1533-position model. The record is from RNAcentral.